Molecule: unclassified non-coding RNA, 401 nt
Filed under: Hevea brasiliensis (rubber tree)
Lineage: Eukaryota; Viridiplantae; Streptophyta; Magnoliopsida; Malpighiales; Euphorbiaceae
Source: RNAcentral
GCCAGACAUGAGACCAACCAUGGAAGAAGUGGUUAGGAUGAUUGAAGAAAUCAGGCAGCCUGAAUCUGCGAGACACCCAUCAGGGGAGAACAAGGGAUCAAAUACUAAUUUCUCAUAAUCAAUUUAUCCAUGAUUUCUGUUUGGAGUUUUGUUUGAUGCCAGUUCAAGAAACCUAAACUGCUUCUGGUGAGGCUGUUAGCUAGUGUCCAAAGAGUAACUCCACAUGUAAGUAUUUUCUCAGGGUUAAACAUUUGUCCACUGCUUAUCCUUUUAGCAUUUUAGCUUGAAGUAUCUUCUGACUGGCAUUUGUUUCUUCCCAGUGAUUAUUGUAACCAAGUUCUACAAAAUAUUAUCAUAGGUUGACUAUGUUCUAAGAUCUCAUCAUCCUCCUGCAAAUGCGA